CGGGGGGUGGGGGCCCUAUACAUGAAGUCGAGCGAACAGACGAGGAGCUUGCUCCUUUGACGUUAGCGGCGGACGGGUGAGUAACACGUAGGUAACCUACCUAUAAGACUGGGAUAACUUCGGGAAACCGGAGCUAAUACCGGAUAAUAUUUCGAACCGCAUGGUUCGAUAGUGAAAGAUGGCUUUG
RNAcentral lists this ribosomal RNA (187 nucleotides) under Staphylococcus hominis. RNAcentral describes it as "partial 16S ribosomal RNA". It matches the Rfam family "Bacterial small subunit ribosomal RNA", at positions 34 to 217 of the family's 1533-position model. Lineage: Bacteria; Bacillati; Bacillota; Bacilli; Caryophanales; Staphylococcaceae. The record is from RNAcentral.